GUGCGCUUUACCUAACCAAAAGGGAAAGUAUAGACCAAAAUGGCAGACGAUACUAACAACAUCGCCGAAGUGGGACAAACCAUGAAAAAUACGAACAAUGUGACGCCGAAUCGUAAAACAAAUACAUAGUAAUAAACAAUGAAGAAGACACAGAAUCCAGUAAUGUUUGCAGUAAUGGCCCACUCAGAUGAAGAUUCAAUCAAUGGUGGUUACUCAAGAUGUAGGGUAGAGUGUCACUUGACAGCUAGAACAUUAUGGCAUGCAGGCAGGAGUCUUGGUUUGCAUUUAUCCUGCCUGUGCUGAUCAAACUGCAUGUGGACUUGUAUCAAACUUUUUCAAACAACCAUAGACCAGUGCUGUUUAUUCUUAAAGGCACUCAUAAAAAGGCGGUCAACCAAAUAAAAGAUCCACAGGCAGUGCUGGUUCCCUGCCCAAAUCAACAAACUGCACUGGUAACUUUAUGCUCUCACAAACUGAAGAUCUGUAUGCCAGUAGUUAUAC
Molecule: long non-coding RNA, 501 nt
Organism: Saccostrea cuccullata (small rock oyster)
Lineage: Eukaryota; Metazoa; Mollusca; Bivalvia; Ostreida; Ostreidae
Exons: 4
Source: RefSeq, a predicted model, not a curated record